AGAACGAACGCUGGCGGCAUGCCUAACACAUGCAAGUCGAACGAGGGCUUCGGCCCUAGUGGCGCACGGGUGAGUAACGCGUGGGAACCUGCCCUGUGGUACGGAAUAACUCCGGGAAACUGGAGCUAAUACCGUAUGUGUCCUGUGGGACAAAGAUUUAUCGCCAUGGGAUGGGCCCGCGUAGGAUUAGCUUGUUGGUGGGGUAACGGCCUACCAAGGCUUCGAUCCUUAGCUGGUCUGAGAGGAUGAUCAGCCACACUGGGACUGAGACACGGCCCAGACUCCUACGGGAGGCAGCAGUGGGGAAUAUUGGACAAUGGGCGCAAGCCUGAUCCAGCAAUGCCGCGUGAGUGAUGAAGGCCUUCGGGUUGUAAAGCUCUUUCGCACGCGACGAUGAUGACGGUAGCGUGAGAAGAGCCCGGCUAACUUCGCGCCAGCAGCCGC
Molecule: ribosomal RNA, 444 nt
Filed under: uncultured bacterium
Lineage: Bacteria
Description: SSU rRNA
Rfam family: Bacterial small subunit ribosomal RNA
Source: RNAcentral